Molecule: long non-coding RNA, 176 nt
Organism: Suricata suricatta (meerkat)
Lineage: Eukaryota; Metazoa; Chordata; Mammalia; Carnivora; Herpestidae
Exons: 3
Source: RefSeq, a predicted model, not a curated record
GGAUCACUACUGUCAAAACUCCUUGAAACAUUUCUGUUUAAUACUCAGUGGACCUGCUAAUGAGAGGAAAUAGUGAUGUUUCCAAUAGGCUAUGUUUCCAUCUCAACUACGCUAAACAAGAUGAGAAGGAGAAAGUGACUCAGCCUACUUUGAGGUAUCCCUGUUGUCCAUCACAG